RNAcentral lists this ribosomal RNA (327 nucleotides) under uncultured eukaryote. Its description in RNAcentral is "partial 18S ribosomal RNA". It matches the Rfam family "Eukaryotic small subunit ribosomal RNA", at positions 1470 to 1796 of the family's 1831-position model. The record is from RNAcentral.
CCCUUAGAUGUUCUGGGCUGCACGCGCGCUACACUGAUGCGUUCAACGAGCCUUCCUUGCUCGAGAGAGCUGGGUAAUCUUCAUGAAAACGCAUCGUGAUGGGGAUAGGCGCUUGUAAUUAUUCGCCUUGAACGAGGAAUUCCUAGUAAGCGCGAGUCAUCAGCUCGCGCUGAUUACGUCCCUGCCCUUUGUACACACCGCCCGUCGCUCCUACCGAUUGAAUGGUCCGGUGAAGCGUUCGGACCGUGGCCUUUGGACGGUUCGCCGUCUGUUGGCUGCGGGAAGUUCGUUAAACCUUAUCAUUUAGAGGAAGGAGAAGUCGUANCA